UCUCCGCCGCGCCAACGCUGGCCGCCUCUCCGCCGCUGUCCGCCUCUCCGCCACGCCGGCACCAGCGCUGUGUGCUUUUGCAAGGGCGGAGCUGCGUUCUCCUCGGCACAGACCCGGAGAGCAUUGCGAGGGCGGAGCUGCGUUCUGCUCUGCACAGACCUUGGGGCACUGCCUCGCUUUGGGACAACUCGGGGCCGCAUCGACGGUGAAUAAAAUCCUUCCUGUUUGCAGCCAUGUUUGUGGUUGGUGGCAGCGAUGGACACUGCAGCCAGCCAGAGUGUAGAAAAAGGCAUCGGGUGAAAGAAGAUGGCCACGGAGACAGACAGCAGCGUGGUCAGAGUGGUAGGAGCCGGCCAUCAGCGAGAGCUGCUCCAUGCCUGGCUGCUGGGAGCUAGAGCCUGCGGCCCACUGGCUUGCCUCACUGUAGUUGGUGGUGGCGGUGACAGAGACUGCAGCAUGACCAGAGUGGCUUUUCUGGCUUUGCCCACCCAGCUGCUCCGUGCCAGGAGGAGGAGGAGACACCUAGAGCGUGCAACACCACGGCUCGCCUCGCUGCGGGUGGGUGGCAGUGACGGAGACUGCAGUGCACCAGAACGAUGAAAUGAUAAGAUGACUUGAGAUGAGAUGAAAUGAUGA
This 636-nucleotide long non-coding RNA is filed under the name Homo sapiens (human). Its description in RNAcentral is "HSALNT0304232". The record is from RNAcentral. Lineage: Eukaryota; Metazoa; Chordata; Mammalia; Primates; Hominidae.